CCUACGGGUGGCAGCAGUCGAGAAUCAUUCACAAUGGGGGAAACCCUGAUGGUGCGACGCCGCGUGGGGGAAUGAAGGUCUUCGGAUUGUAAACCCCUGUCAUGUGGGAGCAAAUUAAAAAGAUAGUACCACAAGAGGAAGAGACGGCUAACUCUGUGCCAGCAGCCGCGGUAAUACAGAGGUCUCAAGCGUUGUUCGCAAUAACUGGGCGUAAAGCGUGCGUAGGCUGUUUCGUAAGUCGUGUGUGAAAGGCGCGGGCUCAACCCGCGGACGGCACAUGAUACUGCGAGACGAGAGGAAUGGAGGGGGAACUGGAAUUCUCGGUGUAGCAGUGAAAUGCGUAGAUAGCGAGAGGAACACUCGUGGCGAAGGCGGGUUCCUGGACAUUAACUGACGCUGAGGCACGAAGGCCAGGGGAGCGAAAGGGAUUAGAUACCCGAGUAGUC
RNAcentral lists this ribosomal RNA (446 nucleotides) under uncultured bacterium. Its description in RNAcentral is "partial 16S ribosomal RNA". It matches the Rfam family "Bacterial small subunit ribosomal RNA", at positions 338 to 795 of the family's 1533-position model. The record is from RNAcentral.